RNAcentral lists this ribosomal RNA (443 nucleotides) under uncultured bacterium. RNAcentral describes it as "bacterial SSU rRNA". It matches the Rfam family "Bacterial small subunit ribosomal RNA", at positions 339 to 794 of the family's 1533-position model. The record is from RNAcentral.
GUACGGGAGGCAGCAGUGGGGAAUAUUGGACAAUGGGCGAAAGCCUGAUCCAGCAACGCCGCGUGAGGGAUGACGGCCUUCGGGUUGUAAACCUCUUUCAGUAGGGACGAAGCGCAAGUGACGGUACCUACAGAAGAAGCACCGGCCAACUACGUGCCAGCAGCCGCGGUAAUACGUAGGGUGCGAGCGUUGUCCGGAAUUAUUGGGCGUAAAGGGCUCGUAGGCGGUUUGUCGCGUCGGGAGUGAAAACACGGGGCUUAACCCCGUGCCUGCUUCCGAUACGGGCAGACUAGAGGUAUGCAGGGGAGAACGGAAUUCCUGGUGUAGCGGUGAAAUGCGCAGAUAUCAGGAGGAACACCGGUGGCGAAGGCGGUUCUCUGGGCAUUACCUGACGCUGAGGAGCGAAAGUGUGGGGAGCGAACAGGAUUAGAUACCCUGGUAGA